GUAGGUGGCAAGCGUUGUCCGGAAUUAUUGGGCGUAAAGCGCGCGCAGGCGGUCCUUUAAGUCUGAUGUGAAAGCCCACGGCUCAACCGUGGAGGGUCAUUGGAAACUGGGGGACUUGAGUACAGAAGAGGAAAGCGGAAUUCCAAGUGUAGCGGUGAAAUGCGUAGAGAUUUGGAGGAACACCAGUGGCGAGGGCGGCUUUCUGGUCUGUAACUGACGCUGAGGCGCGAAAGCGUGGGGAGCAAACAGGGAUUAGAUACCCUGGUAGUCCACGCCGUAAACGAUGAGUGCUAAGUGUUAGGGGGUUUCCCGCCCCUUAGUGCUGCAGCUAACGCAUUAAGCACUCCGCCUGGGGAGUACGGCCGCAAGGCUG
Molecule: ribosomal RNA, 373 nt
Filed under: uncultured organism
Description: partial 16S ribosomal RNA
Rfam family: Bacterial small subunit ribosomal RNA
Source: RNAcentral